GACGAACGCUGGCGGCGUGCUUAACACAUGCAAGUCGAACGGAAAGGCCCUGCUUUUGUGGGGUGCUCGAGUGGCGAACGGGUGAGUAACACGUGAGUAACCUGCCCUUGACUUUGGGAUAACUUCAGGAAACUGGGGCUAAUACCGGAUAGGAGCUCCUGCUGCAUGGUGGGGGUUGGAAAGUUUCGGCGGUUGGGGAUGGACUCGCGGCUUAUCAGCUUGUUGGUGGGGUAGUGGCUUACCAAGGCUUUGACGGGUAGCCGGCCUGAGAGGGUGACCGGCCACAUUGGGACUGAGAUACGGCCCAGACUCCUACGGGAGGCAGCAGUGGGGAAUAUGGCACAAUGGGCGGAAGCCUGAUGCAGCAACGCCGCGUGCGGGAUGACGGCCUUCGGGUUGUAAACCGCUUUCGCCUGUGACGAAGCGUGAGUGACGGUAAUGGGUAAAGAAGUACCGGCUAACUACGUG
RNAcentral lists this ribosomal RNA (468 nucleotides) under uncultured bacterium. RNAcentral's name for it is "partial 16S ribosomal RNA". It matches the Rfam family "Bacterial small subunit ribosomal RNA", at positions 28 to 507 of the family's 1533-position model. The record is from RNAcentral.